CAAGGUUUCACCAUGUUGGUCGGGCUGGUCUAGAAUUCCUGACCUUGUGACCCGCCAGCCUCAGUCUCCCAAAGUGCUGGGAGUACAGUCGUGAGCCACCGCGCCCGGCCCUAUCUAUCUAUUUCUAUCUAUCUAUUAUCUAUCUAUCUCUUAAGGGUUUUUUAUCUGGAGAACCUUGACUAAUAUACCAGUGUUACUUAUCUAUUUGAACUCCUGUACUUUUCUGCCAUGAAAAUCUGGGAGAUACAAGAUAGCUUAUUCACUGUAGCUUUAUACACACACACAUGCACUAGUAUGUAUAUAACAUAUGAUAUAGAUAUGUGUUUAUAAAUGUGCAUAUACGAAUAUAUGUGUGUAUUAAUACCCUAGUUUGGCCAGAAAAACCAACUCCCCACCAGAUAAUUCAACUGAGAGAAUUUUAUAUGGGGACUUAUUUACAAAAGUAUUUAGAACAGUGGAGAGAAUGAAAAAGAUGAUACAAAAUCAAUUUUAUUAGGCCACUACCCUCCUUAGUUAUAGAUGGGCAAAUGGAACAGAAUACUGGAACCUAGGAGCCUGGGCUACCAGGUAGGAGCAGAAAACUCAGUGGGGCCACCUGAUGGGAGACAGAACCAACCACAGAGAUAAGACCACUGCUGAUGACACUACUCAAAGCAGAUAAAUAAAAUUAAAAAUACCUUGGCUUCUCCCAUUGGUUAAAGCUAGCAUGGAAGCCUGAGAAACAAAAUUAGCAGAGUUCAGCUUCCGUGACUCAGAGCAAACAAGGGAAUGGGUAAAAAAUGAUUCUGAAAGCAAGCACAUGAUUAACAUAUAUAAAUGUAUAUGCAUUAGUAUGUUUAUGUAUCAUAUAUAAAUGUAUAAUAUAUAUAAUAUGUGCAUGUUUAUAAGAUAUGCAUAUAUAUUUUAUAUAUAUAUAUAUAUAUGUACAUACUCCAAAUUUUUAUAAUGGGGAGAGUUUUUAAGAAAGACUCAGAUACUAUUUUUAAAGUGCCUUUUGCUCAGCAGCUUUGCUUUCUCCUGAAAUGAAAAACAUCUAGGCAUCAUGGGUCAGAACAGAAAAAAAUGAUGGAUCAAAUUCCUAAGGCUAUUAAGAAUUGCACAUUGAGACUACUCAAUGGGACUGCCACUUACUCUCGCCGAAGUAGUUAGGAAGAACAAGUAUGCAUAAAACUGAAGUUGAGUUUCUUUAGGGAAUGAUAUAUUCCUUACCACCAAUUAAUAAACUGUUUUUAUUUCCUUCUUUUUGUUAAAAACUGAGGCUCAGAGAAUCUAAGGUACUAAAACAAAGUAUUUAAUGUUACAGCUUCAAUUUGAGUUCACUACAAACCUUUCACUAUCACAGUCUAAAUUUGUGGGAAAUCUACUCUGGAGUGUAAGGGCAGGUCUGGCUUCGCGGGUGUUCAACCUGUGCAUUGCACAGAGGCACGUGCUCAAAAGGGUCCCAUCCUGAUUUAAUGUUUUGCUAUUGUCCUCUUAUAAUACUGUUAUCUAUAAACUGUCUAUAAGCUAUAAAACUAUUUUAUAGUUUACAAACCUUUUGUAAGUGAAUUCUGAUGAAACAAUGGAGUGUGCAUAAACAGAGGUGAUAUAAACAGUAGGUGCAUCUACUACCAUUUCUUGCAUAUAGUAUUCAUCCUACCUCCUGAGCACAGAAUUCUGGUGAACUCAUGAUAUAUGGGAGUUUAGCGAGACUCGAACUGAGCAGCAUUACAUCUGUGACUGAAACAGGGGCAUUGACAGCCCCAAAAUGCCACACUCUUUAUUCAAACCAAAACAUGUUUAGGACACAAAAAGAGGGUAGCGCAUGGCUUUCUGAAAUGCAAGAAUGGACCAGGCACAGUGGCUCAUGCCUGUAAUCUCAGCAAUUUGGGAGGCCGAGGUGGAUGGAUCACUUGAGGUCAGGAGUUUGAGACCAGCCUGGCCAACACAUGAAACCCCGUCUCUACUAAAAAUACAAAAAUUAGCCAGGCGUGGUAGUGUGCACCUCUAGUCCCACCUACUCAGGAGGUUGAGGCAGGAGAAUCACUUAAACCCCGGAGGCAGAGGUUGCAGUGAGCCAAGAUCACACCACUGCACUCCAGCCUGGCUGACAGAGCGAGUCUCUCUCUCAAAAAAUAAUAAUAAUAAUAAAAAUAAAAAAAUAACUAUACAUGGGGUAGCUUCUGCCUGAUACUUCAACUCAAGCAGAAUCUGGAGAAAAUUUCAAGAGUUCACUAGUAAAAAAUGCAGUUAUUACUUGCUUGUAAAAAUAGCAUGUUUAAUUCUUAAAUUGAAUUAUUAAUUUGGCUAGCCAUAAAGAAAAUAAACUGGCAUUUCCAUGUUUUAUUAUUUUUAUUUCCUAAUUAAAUCAUUCAGGUGUUGAAAGUUUGGUUCAAGCUUCUCUUGAAAGAAAUUUCUAAGCAGAUUAAGAGCUAUUUAGACUCACAGUUGGCAGAAAAGAUUAUGUUUUCAUGCCUGCAUAUAUAUUUCCUGCCUGUCUCUAGAGCUUCUUGACAAGGAUUUUGUUUCUCCUCCCUCUUAUUUGUGGAGGAUGAAAAGUUAACGUGAUACAGCUAUGUAGAAAUUUAAGAGAAGUUUAUACGUUAAAAAAAAAAAAGUAGCCCUUUUGCAAAAAUCCAGGGAAUUCUUGGAGUUUAUUUUUAAAACAGUUAAAAAAAUUUUAGUCUUUUUAAUGACAUUAAUUUCCUAAAAUUAACAUUCAACCCCAUAAAUAUCAUAAGGGUGACUAUCACCCUUAUUAACAAUAUGCUUAUCCUUUAUUUCAGAGAAGAGUCAUUAAAAAUGAAUCUUUUAAAAAGUUUAAUUAUAUACAAUGUCUCUUACUAUACAAAAGUUAAUAAUAGAUAUGAAAAAUAGAUGUCCUGUAGGCAAACAAGUGCGGGGAACAUUUAAACAGGGUUUUAUUUGGUUUUGAUUUAUUUAUUUUUCCCUGUAGUCUUUUUCAUAGCCUAUAAUGUGAAAAUAUGCAUUCAACGUCUCCAAGACACUUUUGGACCUCUUGAAUAUGCCUGCACCCAGGCCUAUUGUCUCUUCUCAGUUUGUAAUUCACUGGGUAAGCCAGGUAGGUACCAACACAUAUUUUCGGUCCCAGGGAUAUGACGGAAGAAGAAUCCCUUUUUUGGGCUUCAGAUUUAAAGCCAGAUUUAGAUCUGGGUCCCCACCAAAUCUCAUGUCAAAUUGUAAUCCCCAGUGUUGGAGGCGGGGCCUGGUGGGAAGUGGUUGAAUCAUGGGGGUGGAUUUCUCAUGAAUGGUUUAGCACCAUUCGCCCUUGGUACUGUCCUUGCAAAAGUGAGUGAGUUCUCACCAGAUCUAGUUGUUUAAAAGUGAAUGGCACCUCCCGCCUCACUCUCUCUUGCUCCUUCUCUGGCCAUGUAACAUUUCUGCUCCCCCUUUGCCUUCCACCAUGAUUGGGAAUGCUCUGAGGCCUCUCCAGAAACCAAGUAGAUGCUGCCAUGUUUCCUGGACAGCCUGCAGAACUGUGAGCCAAUUACACCUCUUCUUUAUAAAUUAUCCAGUCUCAGUUGUUUCUUUGUAGCCAUGAGAGAAUAAAAUAAUACAGAAAAUCAUUCUCUAAUUUAUUUUGUCUUGAUUAUAAAACCAAUAUUUGAUUUUUGUCUGCACAGUAGGAUUUCCUAAACUGUAGUUCCUUCUCUUCAGUUCAGACAACUUAUUGAAUAAAGCCUAGGAAAAAAUACCCAUUGUAUUUGAAUGAAUAUUUUUAAGGAACAUCUUGGUUAUUAGUUAUAAUGUGUACUGAUACAUGCAUCAUGAGCUAAAUUAAAUUAUUCUUCUAGAAAAUAACUAAUGUUCUCAAACAUUUUAGAUCUUUUGAUGUAAAUUUUCUAGAUUACAUAGCAAAAUAAACAAAUUCAUAGUUUUCGUUUUUCAUAUUUUUAAAGCAAUUUCAAAUAGUGCAUGCUUAUUAUCAAACAUUUAAAAGUGCAGAAAUGAGGAGUGGACAGUGAAAAUUCUCCAUUAUUACUAUUCCCAUAGAUGCAAGUUGGUGCAAAUACUUCCAGAGAGGUUACAAUUAUACACAUUGCACAUAUGUAUGUGUGUACAUGUGCAUAUGUAUUAGUAGGGGUUAUCUAGAGGGUCAGGACAAAUAGGAUAUAUAUAUAUAUAUAUACAUACAUAUGUAUGUGUGUGUGUGUGUAUAUAUAUAUAUUCAUAUAUAUAUAUAUAUAUGUAUGAAAGGGAGUUUAUUAGGAGAAUUGAUUCACAUAAUCACAAGAUGAAGUCUCACAAUAGGCAGUCUGCAAGCUGAGAAGCAAGGCAGCCAGUCCAAGUCUCAAAACUUCAAAAGCAGGUAAGCUGGUAGAGCAGCUUUCAGUCUGUGACUGAAGGCCCGAGAGCCCCUGGCAAACCACUGAUGUAGAUCCAAGGAUCCAAAAGCUGAAGAACUUGGAGUCCAAUGUUUGAGGGCAGGAAGCAUCCAGCAUGGGAGAAAGAUGAAGGCCAGAAGACUUAGCUAGUCUAGUCCUUCCACGUUCCUCUGCCUGCUUUUAUCCUAGCCAUGCUGGCAGCUGAUUAAAUGGUGCCCACUAAGAUUGAGGGUGGGUCUGCCUCUCCUAGUCCACUGACUCAAAUGUUAAUCUCCUUUGGCAACACCUCAUAGAAACACCCAGGAACAAUACUUUCCAUCCUUCAAUCUAAUCAAGUUGACAUUCAAUAUUAACCAUCACAUGCAUAAAAUUAUUCACAUAAAUAAUCUUAAAUGGUGUUAUUUUGACACACACAAAUACAAUUUUAAUGAGUUUUCUUAUACACAUCAGAAGAUUUCCUAUAUGCAUAAUUCAUUUUAAUACUAGAAUAAUUUUUUGGGUAUAAUGUACCUUUUCACUAUAUGCAGUAAACCUCACUUUGAUAGAGACUCUUAUGAAAUUGAAAAAAAAAGCUUCUGUGGAAAAUGGCAUUGGUAUUUUGAUAGACAUUGCAUGGAAUCUGUAGAUUGUUUUGGGCAGUAGGGUUAUUUUAAUUAAUUAAUGCUUCCAAUCUAUGAGAAUGGGAUAUUUUUUUCUAUUUGUUUGUGUCAUCUACAAUUUGUUUUACAGUUUUCCUUGUAGAGAUCUUUCAAUUCCUUGGUUAAAUAUAUUCCUAGGUAUAUUAAUUUUUUGUAGUUAUUGUAAAUGGGAUUGCCUUCUUUAUUUGGUUCGCAUCUUGAUCAUUAUUGAUGUACAGAAAUGCCACAUGUAAAAUUUGUUUUUAAAAAAUGCUUAAACAUUUAAAAUAUACAAAGAUUUUUUUUAUUAAAUCUGUAAACUUUGUUCAUUUAUGUUUUUUAGGAUGACUUACUUAUAAAACAAAAUAUUCAGUUGACAUAUUCAAAAUAAAUAAACAGGAAUAUGUAAUGUAAUACGUAUACCUUUGUAUAUAUGUAAAUAUAUACAAAUAUCUUUUGGUAUCCUCAAGGGAUUAGUUCCCAGACCCCUGUGGAUACCAUAAUCCAAGGAUGCUCAAGCACCUAAUAUAAAAUGGCAUAGUAGUUGCAUAUAACCUAUGCAUAUCCUCCCAUAUAUUUAAUCUCAUAUCUACAUUACUUAUAUGUCUAAUACAAUAUGAAUGCCAUCCAAAUGGUUGUUCUACUGUAUUUUUCAUAUUAUUUUUUAUUGUUGUAUUGCUAUUUUAAAAAUAUUUUUCAUUUGCAGUUGGUCGAAUUCAUGGACGCAGAACCCAUCGAUAAGGAAUGGAGCUGGUUUAUUACUCCAAAAUAAGCUGAAUAAAAUCCUGUUAGAAGAAAGUUAGUGCAAUGAGUUAUGCUUAAAAAAACAAUACUGGGUAUGUGGCUGGCAGAAAGAACCUUCUGAUUAUACAGCUGCAGCAACUCUACUAGACUGAACAAAGGGAUUAGGACUGACAGCAUGGGGAAUCUAAGCCAAAAUUGGAAUUCCUUAUUAGCAAAAGUUACCACAUGGCAAUUCAGGUAAAUCAAACCACUAGUGCCAAGCAGAGUGUUAACAGAGCCAUCUGGGGAAAUGAAGAAUCACAGAAUAUCUGGCAAUGAGAUGUCUCUGAGACUGAGGCAAAGUACUGUAUACUUUAACAAAUGGCCAAUUGCAACAUUUCAUUUAAACCAGAAGAAAAAUAUGGCUUACUCUUAUAAUAUAUAGAGUACUACAUGGUAAGCUUGAUGUAUAGGACCUUAAGAGACUCAUUUAAUUGAAUAGGUUUUCCCUUCCUGAAAGCAAAUCCCAAUAAAAUUCAUUUAUUUAUUUAAACAUGACAGUCUACAUUUACAAUAAGUAUAAGUUAGGACAUGUGAAAUACAGUGCAUGGAUGCUUUUCAGCUCAAAGAAAUUUGGGGCCAAAAGUCAGGGUAAAAAUAAACAUAUAGUCCUCCAGGAUACUCCUGAGAUUACUCUGGACAGCCCUGCUCUAUCUACCCAGACUGAUGCUCUUCAAGAUGAUCCCUGCUGAUUAAGAAAUACAUUUUGAAUUAAAUGCUCUCACUGUCAUACAGGAGAGCAGAAAGUCCACAGAGAAUGAAGCAGCAGCGAUAAAUCAGCUUUCUGUCAUAGACUGAGUAUCUGUGUAUUUUCUCUACUCUCUUUCUAAAUAAAAUUGAUGUCCUUGA
RNAcentral lists this long non-coding RNA (6574 nucleotides) under Homo sapiens (human). RNAcentral's name for it is "HSALNT0163627". Lineage: Eukaryota; Metazoa; Chordata; Mammalia; Primates; Hominidae. The record is from RNAcentral.